CCGCCUUUUCUUUGCUUAAUGCUCCAGUGCAUUGUCUCUGUAUUGCAGAAAUAGUUUGAUUGUUAUAGGCUAAUUCAAUAUGGUCUGACCUAGCGGUUGACCAUAAUUAAUUUAUGUCAAUCCUUCGUUUCUAGGUAGAUAUAAAUCACGACAUUGAUCAUGUGAUGAGUUCAUGUUUGUCUUGCAUGAGAGGAACAAGCUGAUUGUUGCAUGAAACAUAUAAUUUAUUUGCCUUCUCUAAAAUAUUUACUUUGCUUUGUAAAGUUUCAGUCCAGAAAUAUAACAGUUAAUAUGUCAGGAAUAGAAGCCUCUGAUGUACAUAAUAAAAUCCAAUAUUUGCCAGAUUUUAGUUAUCCUGUUUUAUAGUUCUGUCAUACUCUUGAUUAUGUGUUGUCCAUUGCUUUAACUUGUUUCUCAUAAAAGAUUAUUCAGCCUUCUGUGGAAACUGCAGUGGAUGCUGCUACAACCUCCAUUUGUCUUAGGACCAGCACUGCUGCCAAGAAACCAAAGCAGUGGCUGGUCUGCAUGCAUAAGCAGGCCAUUUUCUGUACAACUUUAUCUUCAUGGAUGGUUCUUGUUACGGGCUUGGCUCACAGGCCCAGGUGAAGAGCUUAUCAGUAUCUUAAUAAUGCUCGCUACCUCAACAUCUGCUGGUAUUCAGCGUGCCUUCCUUUCUACAUCGUUGAGAUGAGCUCACCGCCUUGACGCAUGCUACUGCUUCAUGUGGGUUCUCUGCUAAGCUGUCAAGCUGAUGUGAUGCCUUUACUACCUGCCUAUAAACUGCCGUUGGACUUGUAUUCUCUGCUGCAGCAGCGACCUGAUGUGUAGCUGUGUAAAUAGCUAUGUAGAAAGCUAUUUUGUGUAAGUGCACGCUGCUCUAUAAGCAUGCUUUUAUAAGUAGAUCCUUUGUGACCAUCGUUCAGCCAGAUCCUAUGCCCAGAAUAUGGGCUGAACUUCAUCUGCACUUUAUCAACUUCUAUGGAUGGCAUGAAUUAUUGCCCAGGAAGACCUUGUGUCGAUAUGCUUUGAUUUCCAUCAGUUUCUCCUCUACAAUAGUGGUAUUGCUUAUUUUGGUAUUUUGUAGUAAUUGUGAUAAAUCAUACAUGUCUUAGGCUUACAUUUUGGACAUGUGCCCUGCUGCUAGAACAUGCUUAUUUAUUUGUAGAACCUUGCCCAUGUAUGGGGUGCA
Molecule: long non-coding RNA, 1189 nt
Organism: Lolium perenne
Lineage: Eukaryota; Viridiplantae; Streptophyta; Magnoliopsida; Poales; Poaceae
Source: RefSeq, a predicted model, not a curated record